Camelina sativa (false flax) is the source of this 196-nucleotide non-coding RNA. Lineage: Eukaryota; Viridiplantae; Streptophyta; Magnoliopsida; Brassicales; Brassicaceae. The record is from RefSeq and is a predicted model, not a curated record.
UCCAAAGAAGAGUGGGAAGAACAGAGUAAGAUAUGGCCAACUUCAUUUCACCCUCCAACCUACAAUAUAGAUGGCAUCGGUGGGUUCAGCGAGGAGGAUACACAAUCGAUCUGCAAGUUCAUGAGAGUUGUUAUUGAUAUGGCAGUAUCUGGUCAUAAACCACUUGUAAAUGCUGCAGUGAUAGUCGAUCCCUCAG